This 483-nucleotide ribosomal RNA is filed under the name uncultured bacterium. RNAcentral's name for it is "partial 16S ribosomal RNA". It matches the Rfam family "Bacterial small subunit ribosomal RNA", at positions 29 to 507 of the family's 1533-position model. The record is from RNAcentral.
UUGAACGCUGGCGGCAUGCUUUACACAUGCAAGUCGAACGGCAGCGCGGGCUUCGGCCUGGCGGCGAGUGGCGAACGGGUGAGUAAUACAUCGGAACGUGCCCAGUAGUGGGGGAUAGCUCGGCGAAAGCCGGAUUAAUACCGCAUACGACCUGAGGGUGAAAGCGGGGGAUCUUCGGACCUCGCGCUAUUGGAGCGGCCGAUGGCAGAUUAGCUAGUUGGUGGGGUAAAGGCCUACCAAGGCGACGAUCUGUAGCUGGUCUGAGAGGACGACCAGCCACACUGGGACUGAGACACGGCCCAGACUCCUACGGGAGGCAGCAGUGGGGAAUUUUGGACAAAGGGCGAAAGCCUGAUCCAGCAAUGCCGCGUGUGUGAUGAAGGCCUUCGGGUUGUAAAGCACUUUUGGCGGGAACGAAAAGGACUGUGCCAAUACCACGGUUCGAUGACGGUACCCGCAGAAUAAGCACCGGCUAACUACGUG